CCUACGGGUGGCAGCAGUAGGGAAUCUUCCACAAUGGACGAAAGUCUGAUGGAGCAACGCCGCGUGAGUGAAGAAGGGUUUCGGCUCGUAAAGCUCUGUUGGUAGUGAAGAAAGAUAGAGGUAGUAACUGGCCUUUAGUGGACGGUAAUUACAGAGAAAGUCACGGCUAACUACGUGCCAGCAGCCGCGGUAAUACGUAGGUGGCAAGCGUUGGCCGGAUUUAUUGGGCGUAAAGCGAGUGCAGGCGGUUCAAUAAGUCUGAGGUGAAAGCCUUCGGCUCAACCGGAGAAUUGCAUCCGAAACUGUUGACCUUUAGUGCAGCAGAGGAGAGUGGAACUCCAUGUGUAGCGG
Molecule: ribosomal RNA, 351 nt
Filed under: uncultured bacterium
Lineage: Bacteria
Description: partial 16S ribosomal RNA
Rfam family: Bacterial small subunit ribosomal RNA
Source: RNAcentral